UACAGAGGGGGCAAGCGUUGUUCGGAAUUACUGGGCGUAAAGGGCGCGUAGGCGGCCUUCUAAGUCGAACGUGAAAUCCCUGGGCUCAACCCAGGAACUGCGUCCGAUACUGGUUGGCUUGAAUCCGGGAGAGGGACGUGGAAUUCCAGGUGUAGCGGUGAAAUGCGUAGAUAUCUGGAGGAACACCGGUGGCGAAGGCGACGUCCUGGACCGGCAUUGACGCUGAGGCGCGAAAGCCAGGGGAGCAAACGGG
RNAcentral lists this ribosomal RNA (253 nucleotides) under uncultured bacterium. RNAcentral describes it as "partial 16S ribosomal RNA". It matches the Rfam family "Bacterial small subunit ribosomal RNA", at positions 524 to 776 of the family's 1533-position model. The record is from RNAcentral.